This 467-nucleotide ribosomal RNA is filed under the name uncultured bacterium. RNAcentral's name for it is "partial 16S ribosomal RNA". It matches the Rfam family "Bacterial small subunit ribosomal RNA", at positions 28 to 507 of the family's 1533-position model. The record is from RNAcentral.
GACGAACGCUGGCGGCGUGCUUAACACAUGCAAGUCGAACGGAAAGGCCUCUUUCGGGGGGUACUCGAGUGGCGAACGGGUGAGUAACACGUGAGUAACCUGCCCUUGACUUUGGGAUAACUUCAGGAAACUGGGGCUAAUACCGGAUAGGAGCUCCUGCUGCAUGGUGGGGGUUGGAAAGUUUCGGCGGUUGGGGAUGGACUCGCGGGUUAUCAGCUUGUUGGUGGGGUAGUGGCUUACCAAGGCUUUGACGGGUAGCCGGCCUGAGAGGGUGACCGGCCACAUUGGGACUGAGAUACGGCCCAGACUCCUACGGGAGGCAGAAGUGGGGAAGAUUGCACAAUGGGUGGAAGCCUGAUGCAGCAACGCCGUGUGCGGGAUGACGGCCUUCGGGUUGUAAAACGAUUUCGCUCAUGACGAAGCUUUGUGUGACGGUAGUGGGUAAAGAAGCACCGGCUAACUACGUG